ACGUAUGGUGCAAGCGUUAUCCGGAUUUACUGGGUGUAAAGGGAGCGUAGACGGAGUGGCAAGUCUGAUGUGAAAACCCGGGGCUCAACCCCGGGACUGCAUUGGAAACUGUCAAUCUAGAGUAUCGGAGAGGUAAGCGGAAUUCCUAGUGUAGCGGUGAAAUGCGUAGAUAUUAGGAGGAACACCAGUGGCGAAGGCGGCUUACUGGACGGUAACUGACGUUGAGGCUCGAAAGCGUGGGGAGCAAACAG
RNAcentral lists this ribosomal RNA (251 nucleotides) under uncultured bacterium. RNAcentral's name for it is "partial 16S ribosomal RNA". It matches the Rfam family "Bacterial small subunit ribosomal RNA", at positions 525 to 775 of the family's 1533-position model. The record is from RNAcentral.